GAUCCCAUCAGAACUCCGAAGUUAAGCGUGCUUGGGCGAGAGUAGUAUUAGGAUGGGUGACCCCCUGGGAAGUCCUCGUGUUGCACCC
This 88-nucleotide ribosomal RNA is filed under the name Valeriana officinalis var. latifolia. The record is from RNAcentral. Lineage: Eukaryota; Viridiplantae; Streptophyta; Magnoliopsida; Dipsacales; Caprifoliaceae.